Molecule: ribosomal RNA, 479 nt
Filed under: uncultured bacterium
Lineage: Bacteria
Description: bacterial SSU rRNA
Rfam family: Bacterial small subunit ribosomal RNA
Source: RNAcentral
CAGGCCUAACACAUGCAAGUCGAGCGGUAACAGGUGUAGCAAUACAUGCUGACGAGCGGCGAACGGGUGAGUAAUACUUUGGAAUCUUCCCAGUAGUGGGGAAUAACCAGUCGAAAGAUUGGCUAAUACCGCAUACGUCCCUAGUUUGAAAGAAUUGGGGGGAAAGCGGGGGCUCGCAAGACCUCGCGCUAUUGGAUGAGCCAAAGUCGGAUUAGCUAGUUGGUGGGGUAAUGGCCUACCAAGGCGACAAUCCGUAGCUGGUCUGAGAGGACGACCAGCCACACCGGAACUGAGACACGGUCCGGACUCCUACGGGAGGCAGCAGUGGGGAAUAUUGGACAAUGGGGGAAACCCUGAUCCAGCGACGCCGCGUGUGUGAAGAAGGCCUGCGGGUUGUAAAGCCCUUUCGGCGGGGAAGAUAAUGACGGUACCCGCAGAAGAAGCCCCGGCUAACUUCGUGCCAGCAGCCGCGGUAAUAC